Molecule: ribosomal RNA, 943 nt
Filed under: Parapyrenochaeta protearum
Lineage: Eukaryota; Fungi; Ascomycota; Dothideomycetes; Pleosporales; Parapyrenochaetaceae
Description: eukaryotic LSU rRNA
Rfam family: Eukaryotic large subunit ribosomal RNA
Source: RNAcentral
UUUGACCUCGGAUCAGGUAGGGAUACCCGCUGAACUUAAGCAUAUCAAUAAGCGGAGGAAAAGAAACCAACAGGGAUUGCCCUAGUAACGGCGAGUGAAGCGGCAACAGCUCAAAUUUGAAAUCUGGCUCUUUCAGAGUCCGAGUUGUAAUUUGCAGAGGGCGCUUUGGCGUUGGCAGCGGUCCAAGUUCCUUGGAACAGGACGUCACAGAGGGUGAGAAUCCCGUACGUGGUCGCUGGCCUUCGCCGUGUAAAGCCCCUUCGACGAGUCGAGUUGUUUGGGAAUGCAGCUCUAAAUGGGAGGUAAAUUUCUUCUAAAGCUAAAUACUGGCCAGAGACCGAUAGCGCACAAGUAGAGUGAUCGAAAGAUGAAAAGCACUUUGGAAAGAGAGUCAAAUAGCACGUGAAAUUGUUGAAAGGGAAGCGCUUGCAGCCAGACUUGCCUGUAGUUGCUCAUCCGGGCUUUUGCCCGGUGCACUCUUCUGUAGGCAGGCCAGCAUCAGUUUGGACGGUUGGAUAAAGGACUCUGUCACGUACCUCCUUUCGGGGAGGCCUUAUAGGGGAGUCGUCAUGCAACCAGUCUGGACUGAGGUCCGCGCAUCUGCUAGGAUGCUGGCGUAAUGGCUGUAAGCGGCCCGUCUUGAAACACGGACCAAGGAGUCUAACAUCUAUGCGAGUGUUUGGGUGUCAAGCCCGAGCGCGUAAUGAAAGUGAACGGAGGUGGGACCCCGUAAGGGUGCACCAUCGACCGAUCCUGAUGUCUUCGGAUGGAUUUGAGUAAGAGCAUGGCUGUUGGGACCCGAAAGAUGGUGAACUAUGCUUGAAUAGGGUGAAGCCAGAGGAAACUCUGGUGGAGGCUCGCAGCGGUUCUGACGUGCAAAUCGAUCGUCAAAUUUGGGCAUAGGGGCGAAAGACUAAUCGAACUAUCUAGUAGCUGGUUCCUG